UUGGACAACUUGCAAUGGGUGAGUCAGAUAAAAAAGUUUGGGGCAAACAAAAAAAAUCAACCCAAAUGUCAUGAUGUGUUUGUUUUAGGUUAUUGCUGCAGGCUUAUUUUGAAAUGUCCGGUACACCACUUGUUCGCAUAUUAUAAGUUGCCUAAACUAACAUCAUUCACUAUUACAGGUACAUCACCAUUUACAUUUUACAAUACAUUACAUACAUUAAUGUUUAUGAUCUUUACUGAAUUCUUCAAACUAUGUAACUAUGUUUCGUGUUUGAUUGCGAGAGCCUCAGUUUACACUGAUGUCAAACACUCCACAAAUCUGUGA
Vicia faba (fava bean) is the source of this 324-nucleotide non-coding RNA. The record is from the annotation of a GenBank genome assembly. Lineage: Eukaryota; Viridiplantae; Streptophyta; Magnoliopsida; Fabales; Fabaceae.